Molecule: ribosomal RNA, 1688 nt
Filed under: Filenchus discrepans
Lineage: Eukaryota; Metazoa; Nematoda; Chromadorea; Rhabditida; Tylenchidae
Description: SSU rRNA
Rfam family: Eukaryotic small subunit ribosomal RNA
Source: RNAcentral
AUGUCUAAGUAUAAGCGACUCAGCUCGUGAAACCGCGAACGGCUCAUUAUAACAGCUAUAAUUUACUUGAUCUUGACCAUCCUACUUGGAUAACUGUGGUAAUUCUAGAGCUAAUACAUGCGCAAGAGCUCGUCGCAAGACGAGUGCAUUUAUUAGAGGAAAACCAAGCGGCCUCGGCCGUGCUUUGUUGACUCAGAAUAACUAAGCUGAUCGCAGGGUCUUGUACCGGCGACGUGUCUUUCAAGUAUCUGCCUUAUCAACUUUCGAUGGUAGUGUAUCUGACUACCAUGGUGGUGACGGGUAACGGAGGAUCAGGGUUCGACUCCGGAGAAGGGGCCUGAGAAAUGGCCACUACGUCUAAGGAUGGCAGCAGGCGCGCAAAUUACCCACUCUCGGCUUGAGGAGGUAGUGACGAGAAAUAACGAGACCGUUCUCUACGAGGCCGGUCAUCGGAAUGGGUACAAUGUAAACCCUUUAACGAGUAUCUAUGAGAGGGCAAGUCUGGUGCCAGCAGCCGCGGUAAUUCCAGCUCUCAAAAUGCAUAGAAUUAUUGCUGCGGUUAAAAAGCUCGUAGUUGGAUCUGUGCCCCGCGGGCGGUUCUCCCCCACCGGGGAGCUACUGCUCCGCGGGGCUUUUGGCUGGUCUCAUUCGAUUUCUCUUGUGGAGGUUGGGUUGGCUAGCGAGUUUACUUUGAACAAAUCAGAGUGCUCCACACAGGCGUCUCGCCUGAAUGUUCGUGCAUGGAAUAAUAGAAGAGGAUUUCGGUUCUAUUUUAUUGGUUUUAUAGACUGAGGUAAUGGUUAAUAGAGACAAACGGGGGCAUUCGUACCGCUGCGUGAGAGGUGAAAUUCUUGGACCGCAGCGAGACGCACGACAGCGAAAGCAUUUGCCAAGCAUGUCUUCAUUARUCAAGAACGAAAGUCAGAGGUUCGAAGGCGAUCAGAUACCGCCCUAGUUCUGACCGUAAACGAUGCCAACUAGCGAUCCGCCGGCGGAUCAUUCGCCCUGGUGGGGAGCUUCCCGGAAACGAAAGUCUUCCGGUUCCGGGGGAAGUAUGGUUGCAAAGCUGAAACUUAAAGGAAUUGACGGAAGGGCACCACCAGGAGUGGAGCCUGCGGCUUAAUUUGACUCAACACGGGGAAACUCACCCGGCCCGGACACCGCGAGGAUUGACAGAUUGACAGCUCUUUCAUGAUUCGGUGGAUGGUGGUGCAUGGCCGUUCUUAGUUCGUGGAGCGAUUUGUCUGGUUUAUUCCGAUAACGAGCGAGACUCUAGCCUGCUAAAUAGUCCAGUCAUCCCGCAACAGUGACUGCCGACUUCUUAGAGGGAUCAUCGGCGUUCAGCCGCACGAGAUUGAGCAAUAACAGGUCUGUGAUGCCCUUAGAUGUCCGGGGCUGCACGCGCGCUACACUGGCGAAGGCAGCGUGCCUGUCCUUUCCCGAAAGGGAUGGGUAAACCAUUGAAAAUUCGCCGUGAUUGGGAUCGGAAAUUGCAAUUAUUUUCCGUGAACGAGGAAUUCCAAGUAAGUGCGAGUCAUCAACUCGCGUUGAUUACGUCCCUGCCCUUUGUACACACCGCCCGUCGCUGCCCGGGACUGAGCCAUUUCGAGAAAUUUGGGGACCGGCUCUGUCGUCCGCAAGGAUGGCUCAGCUGCUAACCAACUUAAUCGCAGUGGCUUGAACCGGGC